UGUGUGUGUGUGUGUGUGUGUGUGUGUGUGUGUUUUAAGGCUAAGCUGUGCCAAACAGUCUGCUGUGAUUUCCACAGUGGAGCUGGUCGUCUGCCAUCGCUGCCAUGAAGUCGAACAAUGAAGGAUCCUCUCUUUAUUUUAAAUAACUGAGGCCAAACAUGAACUACAGUUUGUCUGGACCUGAUCACAGGCAGACUGUUGCACACACUACAUGACACACUAUGAGUGUUUUGUGGACAUAAUGUAUUCAUUAUGUGCUGAUAUCAUAUUUACAUGUUUCCUUGGGAAUAUGUGGUUUUGUAGAUAACUCCUCCAUAAAUGAAGCAAUGCCUUCACUUGAAGAAAUGUUGAACAUGAUCCAGGCAGCAAUUAGAUUUUCCUCAAAAUGCAGUUGGCACAGAAGAUUAGUCAUAUAUAUAUAUAGAGACGGAGUGUAAACAAGAUUGUCUUUCAUCAGUCUUUCUGAACGGUGAAGCACGAUCCCGGGCAUUUCUGUCUGGCGGCAGUGUGCUUGAAAAGAACUAGUUGGUACGAUGGAUAAAAAGGUCGUAUAGCCGGGAGACACGAUCAUUGUGUCAAUGUGAGGUCUGUCCUGGAAGACAGUCGCGGUGUUGCACGCUGUUGUUCACGUGAAAAGUGACGGACGUGUGAAAAACAAGAGCUGAGAAGUCCUGCCACACUUUCUCAGUGGGCAGUAAAACGAAAACAGGAAAAGGUAAAACACCUCUUAGUUCGGAAGCAUUCACUUCACAGUAACAACUUUCUUUUUCAUAUUAUAUUUAUAUGUCUAUAAUUAUUAUAUCAUAUAUCAAGAUGGCGGCGCGCAGGACGCAGCGGCUCUUGCGGCUUGUGCCUGCACAUUGUGUUAAUGACAAUAAAGUUGAAUUGAAUCAUUUAUAUUAUUAUGUAUUUAUUCUAUUAUUUGUAUUUAGUAAAUUACUGUGUAUUUAAAUGUAUUUACAUUGUUCUUUUUUUAAGACGCUAUAGAGGAGAAGUCCUAAAGUUGCUCAGAAUAAGUCUGAACACCUGCAGUCCCAUGACAACUCAGCAAACUUCAUCUGCUGAUGAAGACCAUGUGAUAAAGUGGAAAGCUCCGGAACAAGCAAGUUCGACAGGUUGCCGUGUGUGUCUGUUAGUGUGUACGUGCUGAGCUGCAUCGUCGCAGCAACAUCAGGUGUGACUGGCAGAUAAGGUGAAAACACAGAGUUUGACCCUGCAGCAGGUCACCUGAGGUGAUCCUGCAGUCAGAUUAUAUCUUUACGACACAGUAACACCACACUGAGGCCCAGCGGGCACAAACACAAGAAGAAAAGACUUCUGAGAGUCACAGCGAGAGUGUUACACUUCUGUCCUACACAGUACAAAGCUGUUCCAGAAGCUUCAGAGAAACAGACAGGGCGGGAAAAGAGAGCAAAGUUUGAGGAAAAACGGUUGUAGUUACCAGUAGGUGAUUCAUGUCUGUGGCGG
This is a long non-coding RNA of Siniperca chuatsi (mandarin fish), 1467 nucleotides long. RefSeq lists it as uncharacterized. Lineage: Eukaryota; Metazoa; Chordata; Actinopteri; Centrarchiformes; Sinipercidae. The record is from RefSeq and is a predicted model, not a curated record. The transcript is spliced from 3 exons.